AGCUCAAUAAUAAAAUGAAACCUGCAAUAUUCAAAUGAGGAAACAUUUUUUUUACUGAAAAAUAAUCGUUCAGCAACAAAGCAGAUAAGUUAUUUUUCUGAAAGCCUCGCUGUAUUUCUCCAUGUUUAAGGUUUAACUGUGAGUUUUAGUCUAUUUAAUGAUAUUAAAAUAAAAGCAAAAAUGAAAAGGCAUUAGAAAUUAAAUGGCCAAUCAAAGAAUAAAAUACUUGAUGUUUUACUACAAAUGUUCAAUUUAAAAAGAUUUGUUUUUGAAAAUCUCAUCAUAAAAACACCAAAAGUGUUGAUCUGCAUGAGCGCCAUCUGCUGGUGGGUCGAAUUUCUACAAUCCUUUAACUGCAGUCAGGAGCCACAGAAAACUAUUCCAAGGGCCGAUAAAGGCCCGCAGGCCACACUUUGAACAACACUGCCCUCUGGUCAGCAGGGGGCGGUACUGAGUAUUCAGAGGUUAGACUGAACUUCCACAUGCUGGGAAUUUGACCCAUCAGCUGAAACCUUUUACAUGUAAGCUUGUUGUGAAAGCGAAAUGAAGACACAAAGUCAGAAUGUUCCCUUUUUAACAAGUACACAAGUGUCUGAAUUCAAUUUAUUUAUAUAUGCAAGCAAGUUUAUGUCUUUACAAAUCAAAAAGCCACUGUCUGCCUGAGCUGUUGGCACAGAUAUGUACAGAGAUGGAGCGAACCAGAUGGAGCUUGCUACUAAGCAACCAGAGGGAUGUAAAGCGAGACGGGGAGGUGAUGGAGAACAGAGAAGAAGACAUCUGAUGUCCAGAAUGUCCAACCUGACAAGAUGCAUGAAGCUGAAGGUCAGCUGAAGAUCGCAGACCUUCAGACCUGCUCAGGAUGGAGAAAGCUGAUCAUCCACCCUGUAAGAACCAGCUCAGAUCUUCUCACAGAGGACUGGAGGUCAGAUUUUAGUAUAAUUCAUGCUUUUUUUCUGCUGACACGGAGGGUUUGUGAAUCCUGAGUGAGAUCAGGAUCCUGGAAUGAUGGGUCCAUGUUCAGCUGCAGUCAGCAG
Fundulus heteroclitus (mummichog) is the source of this 1034-nucleotide long non-coding RNA. RefSeq lists it as uncharacterized. The transcript has 2 exons. The record is from RefSeq and is a predicted model, not a curated record. NCBI's taxonomy places the organism in Eukaryota, Metazoa, Chordata, Actinopteri, Cyprinodontiformes, Fundulidae.